RNAcentral lists this ribosomal RNA (497 nucleotides) under uncultured bacterium. Its description in RNAcentral is "partial 16S ribosomal RNA". It matches the Rfam family "Bacterial small subunit ribosomal RNA", at positions 28 to 507 of the family's 1533-position model. The record is from RNAcentral.
GAUGAACGCUGGCGGCGUGCCUAAUACAUGCAAGUUGAGCGAUGAAGAUUGGUGCUUGCACCAAUUUGAAGAGCAGCGAACGGGUGAGUAACGCGUGGGGAAUCUGCCUUUGAGCGGGGGACAACAUUUGGAAACGAAUGCUAAUACCGCAUAACAACUUUAAACAUAAGUUUUAAGUUUGAAAGAUGCAAUUGCAUCACUCAAAGAUGAUCCCGCGUUGUAUUAGCUAGUUGGUGAGGUAAAGGCUCACCAAGGCGAUGAUACAUAGCCGACCUGAGAGGGUGAUCGGCCACAUUGGGACUGAGACACGGCCCAAACUCCUACGGGAGGCAGCAGUAGGGAAUCUUCGGCAAUGGACGAAAGUCUGACCAAGCAACGCCGCGUGAGUGAAGAAGGUUUUCGGAUCGUAAAACUCUGUUGGUAGAGAAGAACGUUGGUGAGAGUGGAAAGCUCAUCAAGUGACGGUAACUACCCAGAAAGGGACGGCUAACUACGUG